Molecule: small RNA, 56 nt
Filed under: Skeletonema menzelii
Lineage: Eukaryota; Bacillariophyta; Thalassiosirophyceae; Thalassiosirales; Thalassiosiraceae
Description: partial transfer-messenger RNA
Source: RNAcentral
ACUGAACAAAGUUCUUGGGUCUGCUUUCAAAUUGGCAUAUGCAGGAGAAGACUUGG